This 497-nucleotide ribosomal RNA is filed under the name uncultured bacterium. RNAcentral describes it as "partial 16S ribosomal RNA". It matches the Rfam family "Bacterial small subunit ribosomal RNA", at positions 28 to 507 of the family's 1533-position model. The record is from RNAcentral.
GAUGAAAGCUGGCGGCGUGCCUAAUACAUGCAAGUCGAGCGAACAGACGAGGAGCUUGCUCCUCUGACGUUAGCGGCGGACGGGUGAGUAACACGUGGAUAACCUACCUAUAAGACUGGGAUAACUUCGGGAAACCGGAGCUAAUACCGGAUAAUAUAUUGAACCGCAUGGUUCAAUAGUGAAAGACGGUUUUGCUGUCACUUAUAGAUGGAUCCGCGCCGCAUUAGCUAGUUGGUAAGGUAACGGCUUACCAAGGCGACGAUGCGUAGCCGACCUGAGAGGGUGAUCGGCCACACUGGAACUGAGACACGGUCCAGACUCCUACGGGAGGCAGCAGUAGGGAAUCUUCCGCAAUGGGCGAAAGCCUGACGGAGCAACGCCGCGUGAGUGAUGAAGGUCUUCGGAUCGUAAAACUCUGUUAUUAGGGAAGAACAAAUGUGUAAGUAACUAUGCACGUCUUGACGGUACCUAAUCAGAAAGCCACGGCUAACUACGUG